This 397-nucleotide ribosomal RNA is filed under the name uncultured bacterium. RNAcentral's name for it is "bacterial SSU rRNA". It matches the Rfam family "Bacterial small subunit ribosomal RNA", at positions 362 to 776 of the family's 1533-position model. The record is from RNAcentral.
UCUUGGACAAGGGGGGAAACCCUGAUCCAGCCAUGCCGCGUGAGUGAUGAAGGUCUUCGGGUUGUAAAACUCUUUCGACGGGGCCGAUAAUGACGGUACCCGUAGAAGAGGGUCCGGCUAACUUCGUGCCAGCAGCCGCGGUAAUACGAAGGGGGCUAGCGUUGUUCGGAAUUACUGGGCGUAAAGCGCGCACAGGCGGUCUUCCAAGUCAGUGGUGAAAGCCCGGAGCUCAACUCCGGAACUGCCAUUGAAACUGUAAGACUUGAGGAUGAGAGAGGUGAGUGGAAUUCCCAGUGUAGAGGUGAAAUUCGUAGAUAUUGGGAAGAACACCGGUGGCGAAGGCGGCUCACUGGCUCAUAUCUGACGAUCAGGCGCGACAGCGUGGGGAUCAAACAGG